UAGCUUAGCUGGUAGAGCAAGGCUUUAACACUGCCAGGGUUAUGAGUUUGAUCCUCACAGCUGCCA
Non-coding RNA from Merluccius polli (Benguela hake), 66 nucleotides. NCBI's taxonomy places the organism in Eukaryota, Metazoa, Chordata, Actinopteri, Gadiformes, Merlucciidae. The record is from the annotation of a GenBank genome assembly.